AGAGUUUGAUCCUGGCUCAGAACGAACGCUGGCGGCAUGCCUAACACAUGCAAGUCGAACGAGACCCCUGACUUCGGUUGGCGGGUCUAGUGGCGCACGGGUGCGUAACGCGUGGGAAUCUGCCCUUGGGUUCGGAAUAACUCAGAGAAAUUUGAGCUAAUACCGGAUGAUGACGUAAGUCCAAAGAUUUAUCGCCCAGGGAUGAGCCCGCGUAAGAUUAGCUUGUUGGUGAGGUAAAGGCUCACCAAGGCGACGAUCUUUAGCUGGUCUGAGAGGAUGAUCAGCCACACUGGGACUGAGACACGGCCCAGACUCCUACGGGAGGCAGCAGUGGGGAAUAUUGGACAAUGGGCGAAAGCCUGAUCCAGCAAUGCCGCGUGAGUGAUGAAGGCCUUAGGGUUGUAAAGCUCUUUUACCAGGGAUGAUAAUGACAGUACCUGAGAAUAGC
RNAcentral lists this ribosomal RNA (448 nucleotides) under uncultured Sphingopyxis sp. RNAcentral describes it as "bacterial SSU rRNA". It matches the Rfam family "Bacterial small subunit ribosomal RNA", at positions 8 to 491 of the family's 1533-position model. Lineage: Bacteria; Pseudomonadati; Pseudomonadota; Alphaproteobacteria; Sphingomonadales; Sphingopyxidaceae. The record is from RNAcentral.